RNAcentral lists this unclassified non-coding RNA (250 nucleotides) under plant metagenome. Its description in RNAcentral is "partial contains small subunit ribosomal RNA, internal transcribed spacer 1, and 5.8S ribosomal RNA". The record is from RNAcentral.
GUAGGUGAACCUGCGGAAGGAUCAUUGCCGAGCGUGCGCCGCCUUGCGAGCCGAAAGGCGACCAUGGCGCGCGCAUUUCUCCACAACCCAUGUGAACUUCGUAACUUCGUGACUCGUGGCGUCGGCCGCCUCGCGGCGGCCGCGUCACACUUUUAACCAACCACGUUGACUGUGCUUCUCUGACUGAGACAAACUGUCCGCUCGCUAACGCGACUGACAUCAAAACCAACAUAUCACAACUUUUAACAAC